GGUUCUUUAGCUCAGUUGGUUAGAGCAGACGGCUCAUAACCGUCCGGUCGAUGGUUCGAGUCCAUCAAGAACCA
RNAcentral lists this transfer RNA (74 nucleotides) under Listeria phage LPJP1. It matches the Rfam family "tRNA". From Rfam's summary of the family: Transfer RNA (tRNA) molecules are approximately 80 nucleotides in length. Their secondary structure includes four short double-helical elements and three loops (D, anti-codon, and T loops). Further hydrogen bonds mediate the characteristic L-shaped molecular structure. tRNAs have two regions of fundamental functional importance: the anti-codon, which is responsible for specific mRNA codon recognition, and the 3' end, to which the tRNAs corresponding amino acid is attached (by aminoacyl-tRNA synthetases). tRNAs cope with the degeneracy of the genetic code in two manners: having more than one tRNA (with a specific anti-codon) for a particular amino acid; and 'wobble' base-pairing, i.e. permitting non-standard base-pairing at the 3rd anti-codon position. Lineage: Duplodnaviria; Heunggongvirae; Uroviricota; Caudoviricetes. The record is from Rfam by way of RNAcentral.